GUAUGGAGCAAGCGUUAUCCGGAUUUACUGGGUGUAAAGGGAGCGUAGGCGGUAAGGCAAGUCUGAUGUGAAAGGCCAGGGCUCAACCCUGGGACUGCAUUGGAAACUGUUUAACUGGAGUGUCGGAGAGGCAAGUGGAAUUCCUAGUGUAGCGGUGAAAUGCGUAGAUAUUAGGAGGAACACCAGUGGCGAAGGCGGCUUGCUGGACGAUGACUGACGCUGAGGCUCGAAAGCGUGGGGAGCAAA
RNAcentral lists this ribosomal RNA (246 nucleotides) under uncultured bacterium. RNAcentral describes it as "partial 16S ribosomal RNA". It matches the Rfam family "Bacterial small subunit ribosomal RNA", at positions 527 to 772 of the family's 1533-position model. The record is from RNAcentral.